RNAcentral lists this ribosomal RNA (807 nucleotides) under Lacticaseibacillus rhamnosus. Its description in RNAcentral is "bacterial SSU rRNA". It matches the Rfam family "Bacterial small subunit ribosomal RNA", at positions 51 to 823 of the family's 1533-position model. Lineage: Bacteria; Bacillati; Bacillota; Bacilli; Lactobacillales; Lactobacillaceae. The record is from RNAcentral.
AUAAUGCAAGUCGAACGAGUUCUGAUUAUUGAAAGGUGCUUGCAUCUUGAUUUAAUUUUGAACGAGUGGCGGACGGGUGAGUAACACGUGGGUAACCUGCCCUUAAGUGGGGGAUAACAUUUGGAAACAGAUGCUAAUACCGCAUAAAUCCAAGAACCGCAUGGUUCUUGGCUGAAAGAUGGCGUAAGCUAUCGCUUUUGGAUGGACCCGCGGCGUAUUAGCUAGUUGGUGAGGUAACGGCUCACCAAGGCAAUGAUACGUAGCCGAACUGAGAGGUUGAUCGGCCACAUUGGGACUGAGACACGGCCCAAACUCCUACGGGAGGCAGCAGUAGGGAAUCUUCCACAAUGGACGCAAGUCUGAUGGAGCAACGCCGCGUGAGUGAAGAAGGCUUUCGGGUCGUAAAACUCUGUUGUUGGAGAAGAAUGGUCGGCAGAGUAACUGUUGUCGGCGUGACGGUAUCCAACCAGAAAGCCACGGCUAACUACGUGCCAGCAGCCGCGGUAAUACGUAGGUGGCAAGCGUUAUCCGGAUUUAUUGGGCGUAAAGCGAGCGCAGGCGGUUUUUUAAGUCUGAUGUGAAAGCCCUCGGCUUAACCGAGGAAGUGCAUCGGAAACUGGGAAACUUGAGUGCAGAAGAGGACAGUGGAACUCCAUGUGUAGCGGUGAAAUGCGUAGAUAUAUGGAAGAACACCAGUGGCGAAGGCGGCUGUCUGGUCUGUAACUGACGCUGAGGCUCGAAAGCAUGGGUAGCGAACAGGAUUAGAUACCCUGGUAGUCCAUGCCGUAAACGAUGAAUGCUAGGUGU